RNAcentral lists this ribosomal RNA (496 nucleotides) under uncultured bacterium. RNAcentral describes it as "partial 16S ribosomal RNA". It matches the Rfam family "Bacterial small subunit ribosomal RNA", at positions 28 to 506 of the family's 1533-position model. The record is from RNAcentral.
GAUGAACGCUGGCGGCGUGCCUAAUACAUGCAAGUCGAGCGAACAGACGAGGAGCUUGCUCCUCUGACGUUAGCGGCGGACGGGUGAGUAACACGUGGAUAACCUACCUAUAAGACUGGGAUAACUUCGGGAAACCGGAGCUAAUACCGGAUAAUAUAUUGAACCGCAUGGUUCAAUAGUGAAAGACGGUUUUGCUGUCACUUAUAGAUGGAUCCGCGCCGCAUUAGCUAGUUGGUAAGGUAACGGCUUACCAAGGCAACGAUGCGUAGCCGACCUGAGAGGGUGAUCGGCCACACUGGAACUGAGACACGGCCCAGACCCCUACGGGAGGCAGCAGUAGGGAAUCUUCCGCAAUGGGCGAAAGCCUGACGGAGCAACGCCGCGUGAGUGAUGAAGGUCUUCGGAUCGUAAAACUCUUUUAUUAGGGAAAAACAAAUGUGUAAGUAACUAUGCACCUCUUGGCUGUACCUAAUCAGAAAGCCCCGGCUAACUACGU